Molecule: long non-coding RNA, 1928 nt
Organism: Oncorhynchus keta (chum salmon)
Lineage: Eukaryota; Metazoa; Chordata; Actinopteri; Salmoniformes; Salmonidae
Exons: 2
Source: RefSeq, a predicted model, not a curated record
UCAUACAAUCAAUAUAACAAUUAUUUUACCACAGAACUUUAAAGCGUAUCAACUCUUACUAAGUCCUCAACUACAUCUAACUACAUAAAUCAUCACCUCAUAUCAAAACAAAUGAAAUACAAAGAGGUUGUAGUCAGACAAUCCAAUCCUCCAGCGGAGAAAAGAUCCGAUCCGGUGAACUCUAUUAGUCUACAAAACACACGUUUAACAGCAACAAAACAAACGGAAUAGAUCCGAUCCUGGGUGAACUCUAUUAGUCUACAAAACACACGUUUAACAGCAACAAAACAAACGGAAUAGGUCCGAUCCUGGGUGAACUCUAUUAGUCUACAAAACACACGUUUAACAGCAACAAAACAAACGGAAUAGGUCCGAUCCUGGGUGAACUCUAUUAGUCUACAAAACACACGUUUAACAGCAACAAAACAAACGGAAUAGAUCCGAUCCUGGGUGAACUCUAUUAGUCUACAAAACACACGUUUAACAGCAACAAAACAAACGGAAUAGAUCCGAUCCGGUGAACUCUAUUAGUCUACAAAACACACGUUUAACAGCAACAAAACAAACGGAAUAGAUCCGAUCCUGGGUGAACUCUAUUAGUCUACAAAACACACGUUUAACAGCAACAAAACAAACGGAAUAGGUCCGAUCCUGGGUGAACUCUAUUAGUCUACAAAACACACGUUUAACAGCAACAAAACAAACGGAAUAGGUCCGAUCCUGGGUGAACUCUAUUAGUCUACAAAACACACGUUUAACAGCAACAAAACAAACGGAAUAGAUCCGAUCCUGGGUGAACUCUAUUAGUCUACAAAACACACGUUUAACAGCAACAAAACAAACGGAAUAGAUCCGAUCCUGGGUGAACUCUAUUAGUCUACAAAACACACGUUUAACAGCAACAAAACAAACGGAAUAGGUCCGAUCCUGGGUGAACUCUAUUAGUCUACAAAACACACGUUUAACAGCAACAAAACAAACGGAAUAGAUCCGAUCCUGGGUGAACUCUAUUAGUCUACAAAACACACGUUUAACAGCAACAAAACAAACGGAAUAGGUCCGAUCCUGGGUGAACUCUAUUAGUCUACAAAACACACGUUUAACAGCAACAAAACAAACGGAAUAGGUCCGAUCCUGGGUGAACUCUAUUAGUCUACAAAACACACGUUUAACAGCAACAAAACAAACGGAAUAGAGAAGCAUCUGGAAACUGAGGGUUGAACACAUCCUCAGUCACGUCUCCAUCACAACCCCACUUUUGCGCAGCUGAUGCUAUUUAAUUGGGAAUUAAAGGGAAAGCGGCUUAGUGGAAAGAGAAGCACUGAAACGGAUCAGAAAAAUUCAGGGCCAUCACAACACAUGGACAAACACACACACAUUCACACACACAGGACACAAACACACACACACACAGGACACAAACACACACACUCACUGGACAAACAAAAACACACACACACACUGAACACACACACACACGCUAUACAAAAACACACACACACACACACACGCUAGACACACACACACACACUGGACACACACACAGUGAACACACACAAUUGGACACACACACACACACUGGACAAAAACACACACACUGAACACACAUACACACACACGCUGGGCACACACACACACACACACACUGGACAAACACACACACAACACACUGGACAAACAAAAAUACACACAGACACACACGCUGGACACAGACACACACACUGGACACACACACACACACUGGACACACACACUGGACACACACACACACACACUGGACACACACACUGGACACACACACAUGCGCGUCUUCCUAUAAUUGUGACCUUGACCCAGGACCUCUUACAAUAACAUGUAUUUUAUGUUGAAUAACAAAUUGUACAAUAAUAUACAAUUAUAUAUGGACAUACGCUCCAUAGUUGUACAAG